Hordeum vulgare subsp. vulgare (domesticated barley) is the source of this 3595-nucleotide RNA transcript. It is a transcript of the gene named disease resistance RPP13-like protein 4, with no coding region annotated. NCBI's taxonomy places the organism in Eukaryota, Viridiplantae, Streptophyta, Magnoliopsida, Poales, Poaceae. The record is from RefSeq and is a predicted model, not a curated record. The transcript is spliced from 5 exons.
CACAUCGGUCAUCCAACAAUCCUUUCAUUUCUACUCUCUUCAGCUGAGUUGAUUCAGCAGCGAAAGCCCUCAAACCAAUGUCAGGGGUUUUGGAUGCUUUGGCAUCCUAUGUUACCAACAUGCUCGCCGACAUGGCGACAAAAGAGGUGGCCAUGCUCAUCGGUGUGUCCGGCGAGAUCAACACGCUGGACAUCAAGCUGAAGGACCUCAAGAACUUCCUUGCAGAUGCUGAUCGGAGGAACAUCACAGAUGAGAGUGUGCGGGGGUGGGUGGGGGAACUGAAGCGUGCCAUGUAUCUGGCCACCGACAUCAUCGACCUAUGUCAGCUCAAGGCCAUGGAGCAGGGUCCAUCCAAGAGCAUGGGAUGCCUUAACCCACUCCUCUUCUGCAUGCGAAACCCCCUCCACGCCCACGACAUCGGCACCCGCAUCAAGGAACUGAAUGAGAAGUUGGAUAGCAUUUGCAAGAGAGGACGUAGUUUCGACUUCGUCAAGCUGGAAGCCUACCAAGACAUGAAGAGGACUCGAUCUCCCGCCACUGACCGCAAAACGGAUUCAUUGAUGGAUCGGUCAGGUGCUGUCGGCGAGAAGAUAGAGGAUGACACAAGAGCACUUGUGGAGGUGCUUACUAGGGAGGUGGACGGUGACAAGACUGAUCACCUCAUGGUAGUGGCCAUCGUUGGUGUCGGCGGGAUUGGCAAGACCACCCUCGGCAAGAAGAUCUUCAAUGACGAGGCUGUCAAAGGUAAAUUCACUAAGCAGAUAUGGCUUAGCAUCACACAGGAUUUCAGUGGUGUUGAGCUGUUAAGUAAAUCCAUUACUGCUGCUGGGGGAGACCUGCCUGGUGGAGGUGCAGCUCGAGACGACAAGGACCUACUUGUUCGUGCUCUCAUGAAUACCAUCAAGGAUAAGAAGUUCUUUCUUGUGCUGGAUGACAUGUGGAGCGUCGAUGCAUGGAAUAAACAUCUAAUGACUCCCUUUGGCUAUGGUGGCCGUGGAAGUCGAGUACUCAUCACCACAAGACAUGAGCCUGUUGCUCGGAGCAUGAAAGCUGUGCACCACCACCACAUUGACAGGUUAGGGCCUGAAGAUGCAUGGUCAUUGCUCAAGAGGCAGGUACUCACAACAGAGGAAAACGGGCAUGAGGUUGAUGUGCUAAAGGAUCUUGGCUUGCAAAUUCUUGCAAAAUGUGAUGGUUUACCACUUGCUAUUAAAGUGAUGGGUGGACUUCUAUGCAAUAAGGAAAAAUCACGGCGUGAUUGGGAAGAUAUCUUGCAUGAUGAUAUAUGGUCAGUAUCUCCAAUGUCAGAUGACCUAAACUAUGCAAUAUAUCUUAGUUACCAGGACAUGUCCCCUCACUUAAAACAAUGCUUCCUGCACUUCUCACUUAAACCCAAGAAGGUAGUGCUAUCUAUCAAUGAAAUCGUGUCAAUGUGGAUUUGUGAAGGAUUGGUUCAAGGAGGCUCAAACAGUUUGGAAGAGGAAGGGGAAAAGAACUACAAAGAGCUAAUAUUAAGAAACCUUAUAGAGGUAGAUCCAAAAUUCCCUAGCCAACUUUUUUGCAACAUGCAUGAUGUCAUUCGUUCAUUUGCUCAAUUUAUGGCUAGGGAUGAAACACUAGUAGCUCAUAAUGCAGAUAUUGCUAUAAAAACCCUUAAAUCAUCCAAUUUUCUAAGAUUAUCUAUAGAGACCAGAGGAGUGGGAUCAGAUGAAUUUGAGUGGAGAUAUUUAAGAGAGCAGAAAUUGCUUAGGACACUAAUAUUAACUGGAAACCUCAAAACUGAGCCUGGUGAUUUGUUGAUUAACUUCCCAAGUCUACGUCUUCUACACGUAGAAUCUGCAAAUAUUUCUGCACUAGUUGAAGGUGUGUACCAACUCAAGCACUUGAGAUAUUUGGCAUUAAACAAGAUUGAUAUGUGUAGCCUGCCCGAGAACAUCCAUGAGAUGAAAUACCUAGAACAUAUUAGCCUUGAAUGUUGUGAGAGUUUUGUGAAACUUCCUGAUAGCAUUGUCAAGCUGCAAGGGCUGAGAUUUCUUGAUAUUGAUGGCACACGUGUAAGCUGUAUUCCUAGGGGUUUCCGGGCUCUUACAAAUUUGAGGGUACUAUGUGGGUUUCCAGCCUAUAUUGAUGGUGACUGGUGUAGUUUGGAGGAGUUGGGGCCUCUUUCCCAACUCCAUUGCCUUUCACUAAAGAGUCUGGAAAAUAUAUCUAGUGCCUUGUUGGCCGCAAAGGCAAAUCUAAAUACAAAGAAAUACCUUACCAAACUUGAAUUAAGAUGUGGCGGCCGAGUGGGAGGAGGAGUCUCUGAGUCUAAGGAGGAGGAGCAAAUAAUUGAGGCGGUGUUUGAUGCGUUUUGUCCUCAGCCUUGCAUAGAACAAAUCAUCAUAGAAAGAUAUUUUGGCCGCCGGCUCCCAGGAUGGAUGGCGUCCACAGCUAUGGUGCCUCUCCAGAGCUUGAAGCUUCUAUGCCUCGAACACCUGCCCUGCUGCACCCAGCUCCCGGAUGGCUUGUGUCGGCUCCCUUAUUUGGAGUGGCUAAAAGUGAUGUAUGCUCCAGUUAUCAAGUGUGUCGGCCCUGAAUUCGUCCAACAAUACAAUCAGCUGCACCGUCCUUCAUCUCAGUUGGCUGCUACGUUUCCCAAACUCCGGGAGUUGGAAUUUUAUGGAAUGGAGGAAUGGGACGAGUGGGUUUGGGAGACGGAAGUGAAAGCUAUGCCCUUCUUGGAUGAACUUCGUAUCAGUUGCUGCAAACUGGGUCGUAUGCCUCCAGGACUUAUGUCCCAUGCAACGGCUUUGAAGAAGCUAGUAAUAUGGAACGUCCAACGUCUCCCCUCUCUAGAGAACUUUGUCUCUGUAGUUGAGCUCGACCUGUAUAACAUACCCGAGCUGGCCAUCAUCUCCAAUCUUCCAAAAUUACAAAAGCUUGAAAUCGAGUACUGCCCAAAGCUCGAGACUCUGCAGCAGAUGGCUGCACUCCGGAGACUCGAGCUGAGAGUUUUCAGCUGGGAAGAUCAACUUCCCGUGUACCUGCAGACUGUAAAGCCUAGUCAUUUGCUGCUGACGUGCAACCUGGUAGUACUCACGUCCAUGGCUGAGGGUGAAUCUAGCUCCGAGUGGGACAAGUUCAGUCAUAUCAAGCAGGUCGAGGCUUAUGCAAAGGAUGGAGGAGACGAGAAGAAAUGGCACGUGCUCUACACAUCUGAAUCCGGCAACAUACAGACAAACAUUCAUCAGAAUCGAUUGGUGGAAGAAGAGGACUAGGCCGCAACGCGAGCGGAACGAGGACCAUAUGACGCAUGGAUAUACGUAUGUAUGCCCAAUUAAAUCAAGGAGGCCUCCACUUCUUCCUCUGACUAUCAAGGACUUGUCCAUGCGCAUCUCUGGGGAAAGGUUCUAUCGCACCAAACUCUAUGAAAUUAGAGCUCAGUUCUAUUGCCACACUUGAUAUAUAAGCAAGACCGCUAUAAGCUCUACUGCAAUUUAUAGAUAAGAGUAACGUUUUGUAUGGUUGAUUUGUAUUAUUAUGGUACCGUAACUCUAUUAAUUUGGUCCUGGAAGAACUAUAUAUUAUUAACGUUUUGUAUGGUUGAUUUGUA